RNAcentral lists this ribosomal RNA (259 nucleotides) under uncultured prokaryote. RNAcentral describes it as "partial 16S ribosomal RNA". It matches the Rfam family "Bacterial small subunit ribosomal RNA", at positions 524 to 782 of the family's 1533-position model. The record is from RNAcentral.
UACGGAGGAUCCGUGCGUUAUCCGGAAUUAUUGGGUUUAAAGGGUGCGUAGGCGGCCAUUUAAGUCAGCGGUGAAAUUUUGCAGCUUAACUGUAACAGUGCCGUUGAUACUGUUUGGCUAGGAUUUGGUUGUAGUGUGCGGAAUGUGUGGUGUAGCGGUGAAAUGCUUAGAUAUCACACAGAACACCGAUUGCGAAGGCAGCACACUAAGUCAUUAUUGACGCUGAGGCACGAAAGUGUGGGGAUCAAACAGGAUUAGA